GACGUAGGGAGCGAGCGUUGUCCGGAUUCAUUGGGCGUAAAGAGCGCGUAGGCGGCCGUGCAAGUCGGUUGUGAAAUCCCGGGGCUCAACCCCGGGACUGCGUCCGAUACUGCACGGCUCGAGGCAGGUAGGGGAGAGUGGAAUUCCCGGUGUAGCGGUGAAAUGCGCAGAUAUCGGGAGGAACACCGGUGGCGAAGGCGGCUCUCUGGACCGUAACUGACGCUGAGACGCGAAAGCGUGGGGAGCAAACAGG
Molecule: ribosomal RNA, 253 nt
Filed under: uncultured bacterium
Lineage: Bacteria
Description: partial 16S ribosomal RNA
Rfam family: Bacterial small subunit ribosomal RNA
Source: RNAcentral